CGGCGGACGGGUGAGUAACACGUGGAUAACCUACCUAUAAGACUGGGAUAACUUCGGGAAACCGGAGCUAAUACCGGAUAAUAUAUUGAACCGCAUGGUUCAAUAGUGAAAGACGGUUUUGCUGUCACUUAUAGAUGGAUCCGCGCCGCAUUAGCUAGUUGGUAAGGUAACGGCUUACCAAGGCAACGAUGCGUAGCCGACCUGAGAGGGUGAUCGGCCACACUGGAACUGGGACACGGUCCAG
This 244-nucleotide ribosomal RNA is filed under the name uncultured Staphylococcus sp. RNAcentral describes it as "partial 16S ribosomal RNA". It matches the Rfam family "Bacterial small subunit ribosomal RNA", at positions 96 to 334 of the family's 1533-position model. The record is from RNAcentral. Lineage: Bacteria; Bacillati; Bacillota; Bacilli; Caryophanales; Staphylococcaceae.